This 439-nucleotide ribosomal RNA is filed under the name uncultured bacterium. Its description in RNAcentral is "partial 16S ribosomal RNA". It matches the Rfam family "Bacterial small subunit ribosomal RNA", at positions 338 to 795 of the family's 1533-position model. The record is from RNAcentral.
CCUACGGGAGGCAGCAGUGGGGAAUAUUGCACACUGGGGGAAACCCUGAUGCAGCGACGCCGCGUGAGUGAAGAAGUAUUUCGGUAUGUAAAGCUCUAUCAGCAGGGAAGAAAAUGACGGUACCUGAUUAAGAAGCCCCGGCUAACUACGUGCCAGCCACCGCGGUAAUACGUCGGGGCAAGCGUUUUCCCGAUUUACUGGGUGGAAAGGGAGCGGUGGCGGCAGCACAAAUCUGGAGUGAAAUGGCCGGGCUUAACCCCGGAACUGCUUUGGACAAUGUGCAGCUAGAGUGCAGGAGAGGUAAGUGGAAUUCCUAGUGUAGCGGUGAAAUGCGUAGAUAUUAGGAGGAACACCAGUGGCGAAGGCGGCUUACUGGACUGUAACUGACGUUGAGGCUCGAAAGCGUGGGGAGCAAACAGGAUUAGAUACCCGAGUAGUC